CCUACGGGUGGCAGCAGUGAGGAAUAUUGGUCAAUGGACGAGAGUCUGAACCAGCCAAGUAGCGUGAGGGAUGACUGCCCUAUGGGUUGUAAACUUCUUUUAUAUGGGAAUAAAACGAUCCACGUGGGGGAUUUUGUAUGUACCAUAUGAAUAAGGAUCGGCUAACUCCGUGCCAGCAGCCGCGGUAAUACGGAGGAUCCUAGCGUUAUCCGGAUUUAUUGGGUUUAAAGGGAUCGUAGGUGGAGUGUUAAGUCAGUUGUGAAAGUUUGCGGCUCAAACGUAAAAUUGCAGUUGAAACUGGGAGUCUUGAGUACAGUAGAGGUAGGCGGAAUUCGUGGUGUAGCGGUGAAAUGCUUAGAUAUCACGAAGAACUCCGAUUGCGAAGGCAGUUCACUGGACUGCAACUGACACUGAGGCUCGAAAGUGUGGGUAUCAAACAGGAUUAGAUACCCUGGUAGUC
This 460-nucleotide ribosomal RNA is filed under the name uncultured bacterium. RNAcentral describes it as "partial 16S ribosomal RNA". It matches the Rfam family "Bacterial small subunit ribosomal RNA", at positions 338 to 795 of the family's 1533-position model. The record is from RNAcentral.